GGAGGGAGUGGCAGAAAACGUGAGGUGGGAAUCAAAUCAUGCUGGGCUUUUUGGCCAGCAAACUUGGAAAUCAUGUCUUAGAGAUCAAGGAGCCAAGAGAUGAGACAAGCCUGGGUUCCUAGGUGAUAGGGUGUGGCUGUGUCCCCACCCAAAUCUCGUCUUGAAUUGUAGCUCCCAUAAUCCCCACAUGUUGUGGAGGGACCCUGUGGAAGGUAAUUGAAUUAUGGAGAUUGUGCCUGCAGCCUGGCCUGUUGCCCACAGCGGUCUACCUGCCACACUGGGAAAGAUCGAGCAGAGACAGAGAAGAAAAGGAGGCUCCAUUUUUCAGGCUGCUCUCCCGCAGGCUCAUGUUUUGUGUUCAUGCCAGGCAGAGAACACAAAAUGUUCCAAUAAAUAAGUAUCAAAGGUUAGUGGUGAAAAUGAAGGAGGAGGAGGCAUUGCGUGAAAAACUAAACAUGCAAAAUAUUACACACAAAGAGAACCAAAAUGCAGGUUCACUGGAAAUGAUAGACAAUAUGUUAAAACAAGAGGAGAGAAGAGAGCUGAAAUAAUCAAAUGGAAACACACAAUUUAGGGCUAAGAUCUUGUUGUGUUCAGCCACAAAUGAUGGCCAGCAGUGAGGAAUCUGUGUGUUCUCCACACUCUUCGCUCCUGGGAAGUCAACUCACAUGGACCAUGAUAUCAAUAUCUGCUCCUUCCCCUAAUAUCUGUUUGACCUUGGGUCAGUUACUUAAACUUCCUAAGCCUUAGUUUCUUUGUCUGGAAAAUAGGGAUAGUUAUACCUACCACACAACCACUUUGUAAUGAAUAUGUUGGAAAUUAUAUGCAAAUUGGCUUCCGUUGGUGUUUGGAACAUAGUAGGUUUUUAACUGGAAUAUAAUAGCUACCAUUAUCAGUAUCAUCAUAUUAAUUUAUAUUUCCAUCUUCAGCCCUUAACCCAGGAUCUUCAGUAAAUGUUGAAUUCUCAAAUUUGUUAAAUUCACUUGUCUAUACUAAUAUUUUACUCUAGGUUUCUUAGAAUAUUCUAGAUAAUAUUAUUAUGUAGAAUAUGUUAUGUAAGCUUCAUCUUAUCUGUAAAUAUAGUUUUACUUUUUCCUUUCUAAUUUUUAUGUCGAUUACUUCUUUUUCUUGGCUUAUUGAAUUGGCUAGGAUUCCCGUACAGUGUUGAAUACGUGCAGCAAGACUGCACAUCUUGCCUUGUUCCUGGUCCCACAGAGAGAAUAUCCAGUACUUCACAAUAAGUAUGUGUUAAUUGUAGAUUUUAUUAGAUUGAGGAAGUUCCCUUUCCUUUCAAGUCAGUCUUUUUAUUUUAAACAUGUAUUGAAGUUUUGUCAAAUGUCUUCAUCUAUUGGAAUAAUUAUACAUAUCUCUUUUUUAUUCUGUUAAUAUUACAUUUCAAUCUUCUGUCUACCUAAAAUCCCUAGAAUAAUCUCCAUUUGGCUAUGAUGUGUUGUGCUUUUAUAUAUUACUGAAUUCUAUAUGCCAAUAUUAUUAAAAUUUUCUGUCUUUAUGAGAAA
Molecule: long non-coding RNA, 1517 nt
Filed under: Homo sapiens (human)
Lineage: Eukaryota; Metazoa; Chordata; Mammalia; Primates; Hominidae
Description: CCDC26 long non-coding RNA
Source: RNAcentral